RNAcentral lists this ribosomal RNA (612 nucleotides) under Staphylococcus aureus. RNAcentral describes it as "bacterial SSU rRNA". It matches the Rfam family "Bacterial small subunit ribosomal RNA", at positions 1 to 594 of the family's 1533-position model. The record is from RNAcentral. Lineage: Bacteria; Bacillati; Bacillota; Bacilli; Caryophanales; Staphylococcaceae.
UUUUAUGGAGAGUUUGAUCCUGGCUCAGGAUGAACGCUGGCGGCGUGCCUAAUACAUGCAAGUCGAGCGAACGGACGAGAAGCUUGCUUCUCUGAUGUUAGCGGCGGACGGGUGAGUAACACGUGGAUAACCUACCUAUAAGACUGGGAUAACUUCGGGAAACCGGAGCUAAUACCGGAUAAUAUUUUGAACCGCAUGGUUCAAAAGUGAAAGACGGUCUUGCUGUCACUUAUAGAUGGAUCCGCGCUGCAUUAGCUAGUUGGUAAGGUAACGGCUUACCAAGGCAACGAUGCAUAGCCGACCUGAGAGGGUGAUCGGCCACACUGGAACUGAGACACGGUCCAGACUCCUACGGGAGGCAGCAGUAGGGAAUCUUCCGCAAUGGGCGAAAGCCUGACGGAGCAACGCCGCGUGAGUGAUGAAGGUCUUCGGAUCGUAAAACUCUGUUAUUAGGGAAGAACAUAUGUGUAAGUAACUGUGCACAUCUUGACGGUACCUAAUCAGAAAGCCACGGCUAACUACGUGCCAGCAGCCGCGGUAAUACGUAGGUGGCAAGCGUUAUCCGGAAUUAUUGGGCGUAAAGCGCGCGUAGGCGGUUUUUUAAGUCUGAUG